AUACUUUCCUGGCAGGGGAGAUAUGAAAACAAACGUAGUUUUCCCCAGGCAAGGCUAAUCCAUUGCACUCUGGAUUUGCUGACCCCUGCAAUUUCCCCAAAUGUGGAAAACCCAGCUUCAAAAUUUGUGGUAGUGAUGGACAGAAUUCUUGUUUUUUUGC
Small nuclear RNA from Suncus etruscus (white-toothed pygmy shrew), 160 nucleotides. RefSeq annotates it as U1 spliceosomal RNA. NCBI's taxonomy places the organism in Eukaryota, Metazoa, Chordata, Mammalia, Eulipotyphla, Soricidae. The record is from RefSeq and is a predicted model, not a curated record. The transcript has a single exon.